This 1184-nucleotide long non-coding RNA is filed under the name Crocodylus porosus (Australian saltwater crocodile). RNAcentral describes it as "lncRNA (ENSCPRG00005008811.1)". Lineage: Eukaryota; Metazoa; Chordata; Crocodylia; Crocodylidae. The record is from RNAcentral.
UUUAUGUGCCUGAGCCCCCCUCAGCCAGCCGGCGGCCGGGCCCAGGGGGAUGUUUGGUCUGAGGGAGAGCACCGGAGGGCUGAGACACAGCACUGCCUCGCACGAGGUCCCCGUACUUCAGCAACCAGAAGUGGUAGCACGCUCCUGCGAAGUAUGCACCAAAAUCCUUCACAGAGACUGGUACAGGACCAGCAGAUAUGGACACAGCCAACUCAUCACUUAUGGUUAACCAUCAAGACUACAAGGCUCCACUCCAAGAAACAGCAGCACUAGUAUUUUAAGUUAAAUUUGUUGCUUUCCUCCUUCAGCCUGCCAUAAUACAACUAGAACAGCAAACAAAGGAAGAUUAGUGUGUGCAAUACCAGAGAAAUCAGGUAAGCAAAACAGCUGCAGGUAUCGAGUCUUCAAAUGCUGCAAGGUAUUACUUGAAAGUGAUUAUUAUUGUGGCUGUUUUAGUGAUUUACAAUCCUUAAUGGCAAAUGAAGGAAUGAGGAUGUUUGAACUUCUAAUACAGUUUAGUUUGUGUCAUUCUGUAAGGAUGAGGGAAAAAAAAAAUCAAGGACUUUUGCCUAUAGCAGCUAUUGCUCCAAUUGCCCUGGUGCAGGACCCUUCUUACUGCAAGGGCAAACCCAAAAAGUAAACACCUAAACUAUGGAUCUAGUGAAAGUACAGUGACAGGAGAACUAGCAGGCAAGCAUUCAUCUCUGGAGUGGAAUUUUGCUUUCUCCAGUUUUCCAGAAAUCUAAGCAACAGUCCAGAUGCACUUCCCACUGUGAUUGCUGCACACAACAGGAUGGAAAGUUUUGUUUGUACAACCAGGAUAGUAUGUGAAAAAUACUACUUUUAAAACUAGCAGGAAGCUUUAAGAGUAAUUUUUCUCUUUGGGAUUAUUUUAUUAUUUUAAAGGGGGGGGGGGGAAAUUGAGAGACUGUCUAGAUUACUGCUGGUUAAAAGCGUACCAAUUUCCCCCGUAAAUUACAGUAUCUACAUUGUUAGACAGUUAGAUCUUGCACUAUUUUUAGUAUUUCUCUUCUUUCCCAAAGGUGUAGUUCCUUGGCCAAAUACUACAGGGAAGCCAUCUUUUUCUAAUUAUAGGUGCCCAGUUUACUAAUUUUUUACCUUUCUGAUGCAAGUCACAAGAAUCUCUAGGUGAAAUAAAAACCAACUAGUUUAUCUUAAUAUCA